CGGGCUGGGGGGUCCCCAGGGCUUGUGGAGGUUCCAGGGAAAGUGAACCAGACCGAGGAAGCAGGACCCCGGAGCCUCCUGGGCAGCGGGAACCAAGGUUGGGGGGCUCCCAGCCAGACGAGCCUCCUGGGGGCAGCACAGAGGGGUCACCCCCAAGACUCCAGGCCACGCCCACUCCUGGCCACGCCCACCCCAGGCCACGCCCCCAGGACAAGUCACCAAGGCGGCAGACUCCCACCUGACGCCAUUAACCCCUCCCCCACCAGCCGUCACGGCCUGUCCUAGUGGGGGCUGAGGGAGGGGCUCCAGCUGCUGAGAUGCCCCCUCCCCUGGGGGCGGUGGAGGGACAGCCACCUGGCAGCCAGGAUGAGCCACAAAGGACCAACUCCACCUGUACUGUGGCCCUUCACUGUCCUCCCCUAUGGCCUCCCCUCUUGUCCCCUGCCCCCCUCACUUCCUGCCGUCACAGAGGUCUCCUUGAUAAUCCUUACAUGCAACAGGCACGAGCCUGCCCUGAGGCUUUGCACUGGCUGUUCCCUCUGUCGGCAAUGCUGUUCCUGCAGGGUCUGCUGUGGCUUGGAUAUGAUCUGAGAUCUUAAUGGAUCUGGCUCCCACCCUCCUCUCCAGCCUCCUCACUUGCCUCCCCAAGGCUCCUUUUCAUCUAGAAAGAUAACAGCACAGCCCAGUAACAAGUGGGGUCGGUAACAAGUAACAAGAGCUGAUCUCUAGGCAUGGGCCGGAGAAUGGGGGUAAAAAUGUUCUGGGGCAGAACUCUCCGAGGGCUUAUCUGGAGGGGUGCUGUCAGCAAGGCUGCUCCCUCACAGUGGAUGGGCUUCCCUGGGCUGAGUAAGACAUUCACCUUGACAGAGAAGGAGAAGCAGGCAGCAUUUCACCUGGGUCUGUCUUGCACUGCGAGUCUCCAUCUUAGGACUCUGGGCUCAGACAGAAUCUUUUCCAAAGCCCCAGCCCCCACCCGACCUCCACCUGGACCAAAGGGAUCUGGGCUUUAUCGUCUGGCAGAGGAGUCUAAAAAUAUCUGCACUCGCUAACUUCAUGGGUUUAUUCUCUCAUCUGGGAGGCCCCCGCAAAGCUUUUGCCAAUAUAAAUGGCAUUUCCUUUGGUAUUUUUAAAGAUCAGAGAAUCCAAGGGAGUAAGCAAACUGGAUGGAGGCCUUUGAGAAGGGAGCUUUCAAAUGCCUCGUGUUUCAGGUUUUGAAAAAAAAGUUUUUUUUAAGGAGGCCCGAAAGGUUAGGUUUCCAGAUAGUUCACAAAGGAAGGAAGCAACCUAAAGUCACAUGGAGAAAGAGAUCGACCUCCCUCGUUGUAAAAUUUAGAUUUAAAUCCCCCCGAGGCGCUUCCUGAGCUGCCAUGUUAAAGCAGAUUUUUCAAACACGAACUCAGCUACGAGAGGCUAAAGGGAAAGAGGAUUCUCCUCCAAGAAAGACCCGCUGCUCACCUGGAAGUCGGAGGCCCUGUUUCCCAGGCUCCCUUGCAGGCUCCAAGUGUCAGUUCCGCAGGAAGAUCCAGAAGGUUCCCCCCCUGGACACUGCCCAUUACGACCUCAGGUGUCUCCCGAGCAGGUUUCCGGUUUGGAAAUGAUCUUGUCGUCAGCUUCCUCUGUGAAAUGGGCUCUUUUCUCUCCAACAUGAUUCCGGAGACCCUGGUGGGGACCGACACCUGGUCUCUGCCACCACCACCCCUCCUGUGCCCUGGGCCAGUCCAGCCACAUCCCUUUGGGGAUGGAAACUGGCUUUACCUUCCAGGUCCUCCCUGCACGGUCCCCUGCCUUUGGAGGG
Ictidomys tridecemlineatus (thirteen-lined ground squirrel) is the source of this 1795-nucleotide non-coding RNA. The record is from RefSeq and is a predicted model, not a curated record. Lineage: Eukaryota; Metazoa; Chordata; Mammalia; Rodentia; Sciuridae.